Molecule: RNase P RNA, 368 nt
Filed under: Bacteroidales bacterium
Lineage: Bacteria; Pseudomonadati; Bacteroidota; Bacteroidia; Bacteroidales
Description: RNase P RNA component class A
Rfam family: Bacterial RNase P class A
About the family: Ribonuclease P (RNase P) is a ubiquitous endoribonuclease, found in archaea, bacteria and eukarya as well as chloroplasts and mitochondria.
Source: RNAcentral
AGCAGUCCUUGUUCUAUCGCUGGUAGAUUUUUUUCUACGAGAGGAAAGUCCGGGCAACAUAGAGCACCAUACUACCUAACGGGUAGGCAAUAAUUAUUUUAUUGACAGCAAGUGCCACAGAAAAUUACCGCCUUAAUUUUGUUAAGGUAAGGGUGAAAAUGUGAGGUAAGAGCUCACACAAGGGUAUAGUGAUAUUCUCUUGGGGUAAACCUUAUGGGUUGAAAGACCAAAUAUAUUAGUCUUAGAGUUGCUCGCUCGUUAUGGCUAAGGGGUAGGUCGUUGGAGGCUUAUUGUGAAGUAAGUCCUAGAUUAAUGAUAGAAACCUUCUUUUGAAGGUACAGAACCCGGCUUAUAGAGGAUUGCUUUGU